CAUGUAUUAACACAGACUUUGCUACUCUCUUCAAAGUUGCUAAGAAUAAAAAGUCAAUAAUAAACCACAACACCAAUAUAAAGAUUUAAACUUUAGAUAAUCUCUCAUGUGAAUUUUCAUUUCAGAAAAAAGGCGAGCUGCGCCCCGGCUGACCCGGAUGGAGGCUUCAAUUAUACACGAGAGGUACCGCAGGCUCUGGGCGCUACAGCCCCCGCCGGGCGAAGGUGACCGGCGGGCGGUCAAGGCCCAUGUCCGGGAGGAGCUCGCAAAUGGGCGUGUCCCAGUAAGUAUUUCUCCAGGGUUUUUUUUUUUCCCCCCCAGCAAAAGUAAGUACCUAUGCAGUAGUAGCACCCAGAUUUUCAGCAUAAUGGUAUUUUGCAUUGCAUUGCUGUUUUGAUGCAGUUUUCUGUCUUCAUUUAUGUUGGAAGUGAUAAGUAGAGCCGUACGUUUUAAUUUUUUUCAGAAAUCUCUCAGACCGUGGUAUAUCAUGUUUAGGUGGAAA
Molecule: long non-coding RNA, 502 nt
Organism: Oreochromis aureus
Lineage: Eukaryota; Metazoa; Chordata; Actinopteri; Cichliformes; Cichlidae
Source: Ensembl